Molecule: non-coding RNA, 31 nt
Filed under: Rattus norvegicus (Norway rat)
Lineage: Eukaryota; Metazoa; Chordata; Mammalia; Rodentia; Muridae
Source: RNAcentral
GGCCGGUUAGCUCAGUAGGUUAGAGCUUGGU